RNAcentral lists this ribosomal RNA (478 nucleotides) under uncultured bacterium. Its description in RNAcentral is "partial 16S ribosomal RNA". It matches the Rfam family "Bacterial small subunit ribosomal RNA", at positions 28 to 507 of the family's 1533-position model. The record is from RNAcentral.
GAUGAACGCUGGCGGCGUGCUUAACACAUGCAAGUCGGACGAGAAAUGGAGACGGAAACCUUCGGGCGGAAGGCUUCAUUUCGAGUGGCGGACGGGUGAGUAACGCGUGGGUAACCUGCCUCAUACAGGGGGAUAACAGUUGGAAACGACUGUUAAUACCGCAUAAGACCACAGCACCGCAUGGUGCGGGGGUAAAAACUCCGGUGGUAUGAGAUGGACCCGCGUUCGAUUAGCCAGUUGGCGGGGUAACGGCCCACCAAAGCGACGAUCGAUAGCCGAUCUGAGAGGAUGACCGGCCACAUUGGGACUGAGACACGGCCCAAACUCCUACGGGAGGCAGCAGUGGGGAAUAUUGCACAAUGGGGGAAACCCUGAUGCAGCGACGCCGCGUGAGUGAAGAAGUACUUCGGUAUGUAAAGCUCUAUCAGCAGGGAAGAAAAUGACGGUACCUGAGUAAGAAGCCCCGGCUAACUACGUG